Non-coding RNA from Equus caballus (horse), 724 nucleotides. Lineage: Eukaryota; Metazoa; Chordata; Mammalia; Perissodactyla; Equidae. The record is from RefSeq and is a predicted model, not a curated record.
AUCAGUAGCUUGUCCACAGAUUUGCCAGAUUCAUUAAUCCUUGUUCUUUCUCUGCCUCAGGCUGUGGCACUCCAGAAACUUGGGAGCAGAGGGGCAGCACACAAACUGGGCACUGUGUGCAGGCAAAUGAGGCACACCUCAGCCCUGGUAAAUACGAGAAGGGCAUGCCACGGUCCUCUCUGAUCCACAGGUCAGAAAAUUAAGGUCAGUAACUCUUUGGCCUACGCAAGAUCCCAGUGAGAUGAGGGAGAAAGGAGGCAGUCGGCCUUAUCAUUUCGCAGACCAGAAAAUAGAGACCGAGGGAGGCUACACCUGCAGAGGGAAAGAUGAAAUGAAGCCUCUCUCCGCUGGUGUUCCACAUGCUUUCCAUUUGACCGGGAUUCCCCAAACUUGGCUGAUCAUCAGCAUCACUGAGGAGCAAGGGAUAAAAAUUGCAAUAUGAAAAGAUAAUUCUUCCCGACUGUCAGAACCCAUUAGAAUUUCUACGGCCUGAUGCUCUUUAAGAACAAGAAGGACAAUUAAGAAAACAACACCACCACCUGGUUCCCAUUUAAAAAAGAAAAAUCGGACUGGAGAUUUGCAAUGCUGACCUCCUGAGACGGAAAGGUGAAUAAGAGGUAUUGGUUUGUGAAUGAUGCAACCAAUUUUCAGAGAAAUGCAAUGUUUGCUAAUAAGGGCAAAUUGUGUUUUAACCUCUUCUUAGGCUGUACUUGGAAGUUUUGAA